This 460-nucleotide ribosomal RNA is filed under the name uncultured bacterium. Its description in RNAcentral is "partial 16S ribosomal RNA". It matches the Rfam family "Bacterial small subunit ribosomal RNA", at positions 338 to 795 of the family's 1533-position model. The record is from RNAcentral.
CCUACGGGAGGCAGCAGUGAGGAAUAUUGGUCAAUGGCCGGAAGCCUGAACCAGCCAAGCCGCGUGCAGGACGACGGUGCCAAGCGUUGUAAACUUCUUUUAUCCGGGGACAACGUCAGUCUCGAGUGCCUGUCCGCGUGUACUUGAUGAAAAAGCAUCGGCUAACUCCGUGCCAGCAGCCGCGGUAAUACGGAAGGUGCGGGCGUUAUCCGGAUUUAUUGGGUUUAAAGGGUGCGUAGGCGGGAUGUUAAGUCUGCGGUGAAAUGUCCGGGCUCAACCCGGGCCGAGCAGUGCAAACUGGCGUUCUUGAGAUGGCGGAAGGCAGGCGGAAUGCGUAGUGUAGCGGUGAAAUGCUUAGAUAUGACGAAGAACCCCGAUUGCGAAGGCAGCAUACUGGAGGGGAUCUGACGCUGAGGCACGAAAGCGCGGGUAUCGAACAGGAUUAGAUACCCGGGUAGUC